UUUUUCUUCUAAUCUUGACUGAUGGUUCCACCACCUGCAGCCUUUGUGGGUCUGUUUUUGCUCUGUGGCCACUGCAGCUGCUUUAUUUCCAUGUGUGUUUGGUUAUUUGACUCUUACUGCUCAUUGGUGGGGAUUCUAGGUGUCAGCUCCUUCCACCAGAGGAUUUUUUUGUUUCUGCUAGACAUCUCAGUACCCAGGGUUGUUAACAUCGGCAAAUGCCCUCAGAGCAAAAGUGGCUUUAGGACCCCUAUGGACCUUUUCCUUAAAUUUUUGGCUUAGUAUAUCCAUAACUGUGUUUUAUUGGCUAUUUGAGGCUUUUCAGAUUUUACUUCCUGU
RNAcentral lists this long non-coding RNA (336 nucleotides) under Bos taurus (domestic cattle). RNAcentral describes it as "long non-coding RNA NONBTAT009471". The record is from RNAcentral. Lineage: Eukaryota; Metazoa; Chordata; Mammalia; Artiodactyla; Bovidae.